AGGAACACAAGACUCCGGAGGCAUGCCAGCAUAUAAAACCGUCAGGAGUAAUGGCUCAUGCCUGUAAUCCCAGCAUUUUGGGAGGCCUAAUCGGGCAGAUUGCUUGACGCCAGGAAUUCGAGACCAGCCUGGCCAACACAGUAAAGCCCCGUCUCUACUAAAAAUACAAAAAUUAGCCACAACUGCACAAACAAGCCAGAAACCAAACCCUACCGGGAACCUCCUGGUGUAUGAAGGGAGCCUAGCUCUGGCUGACUCUGCCUGUGUUCACAGACACUUUGCCUCAUUGGUUCCAGCCUCAGCUUCCAGUCUGGACAUGGAGCACAAUAACAGUGGGCCCACUGCUCUCCGAAUUCAUGCGCGCACUUGAAGGGAGUGUCUGGUGCAGGCAUGCAGGGAGGAAGAAUGACUCUGAGCUUGACCAUUCAACUUCGAAACUUUAACAUCAAUGGAUCAACACACACUGG
RNAcentral lists this non-coding RNA (467 nucleotides) under Pongo abelii (Sumatran orangutan). The record is from RNAcentral. Lineage: Eukaryota; Metazoa; Chordata; Mammalia; Primates; Hominidae.